UAAGGAUCUAUGAGAUUGAAAAUCAUGCGUUGCUAAGAGAUACUGAGAGUGAAAAAUCAUUUAAGAAAUCAAAGGAUCAAAAAAUGAAACCUUGCAAAAACCCAAGAAAGCAAACAAGGAGAAUGUGAUCUAUAAGCAAGAGACCAUCAAACAGAGACAAAACCACAACAGUAGAACACUCAAAUACCUAACUUCCCCAAGGGAGCGAUGUGCAAGCUCAGCAAUCAAUAUUUAGGCUUCAAAACAGAGUCAAUAGCUCAAAUAUAAGAAAGACUAGUCCUUGAGUAAGUAUAGCUCCCUACUAUAUCUUCUCCAGUGAUAUUUUAUAUCCCAGUAAUCUACGAUUAUCUCCAGUGAUAAACUGAGAAUUAAAGGAGACUCCAGUGCCAAAAAUGGCGAGCAUUGUGAGGAGCAAUUCCCAGAACAAAUUCAAGUUUCGGCAACUCAGAUACAAAAAAAACUCCAAAUCUCCAUGGAAAUUUGUCAGCACAAUCCUCAAUUUUGUAAGGGAAACACAACCACUCCCCAAAACACUCACCUUGAGAAGAUCCAGCGAA
Arabidopsis thaliana (thale cress) is the source of this 557-nucleotide long non-coding RNA. RefSeq annotates it as other RNA. The record is from RefSeq. Lineage: Eukaryota; Viridiplantae; Streptophyta; Magnoliopsida; Brassicales; Brassicaceae. The transcript has a single exon.